GUGCUGGCUUCAGCAGCACUUACACUACAAUUGAAGGGAGAUAGAGGUCAGCACGACACCUGCAUAAGGAUAACGCUCAUAUCCCUUAGGCAUUCCAUAAUUUU
Molecule: small nuclear RNA, 104 nt
Organism: Microtus ochrogaster (prairie vole)
Lineage: Eukaryota; Metazoa; Chordata; Mammalia; Rodentia; Cricetidae
Source: Ensembl